UACGUAGGGACCAAGCGUUGUUCGGAUUUACUGGGCGUAAAGGGCGCGUAGGCGGCAUGACAAGUCACUUGUGAAAUCUCCGGGCUUAACUCGGAACGGCCAAGUGAAACUGUCAAGCUAGAGUGCAGAAGGGGCAAUCGGAAUUCUUGGUGUAGCGGUGAAAUGCGUAGAUAUCGAGAGGAACACCUGCGGCGAAGGCGGGUUGCUGGGCUGAUACUGACGCUGAGGCGCGAAAGCCAGGGGAGCGAACGGG
Molecule: ribosomal RNA, 253 nt
Filed under: uncultured bacterium
Lineage: Bacteria
Description: partial 16S ribosomal RNA
Rfam family: Bacterial small subunit ribosomal RNA
Source: RNAcentral